AGAAUGUGACUCCUGACUUCCUGUGGUCCAAGACUGGUCAGCUCACUAAACACAUCAGAUGGGAAAACUAAUACUGCAGGAGCAGCCGAUUCGAUUUCCAUCUGCCCAGCAGGGGUUGCCUGCCAGUGAUGCCCUCUUGUGAUCUGUACAGACUAGCUAGGAAUUGUCUAUUCAGGUCAGAUGUCAGUGGGCGUCCCCAAUCCUGCUGUCCCUUGUUUCCUUUUAGCACAACCUUUCGAUUGUCAUCACCGAUGAGUAAUGUGGAAAAACCGGUAUUAACCCAAAACUA
RNAcentral lists this long non-coding RNA (289 nucleotides) under Rattus norvegicus (Norway rat). RNAcentral's name for it is "long non-coding RNA NONRATT020046". Lineage: Eukaryota; Metazoa; Chordata; Mammalia; Rodentia; Muridae. The record is from RNAcentral.